Bombus impatiens (common eastern bumble bee) is the source of this 733-nucleotide long non-coding RNA. RefSeq lists it as uncharacterized. The transcript is spliced from 2 exons. Lineage: Eukaryota; Metazoa; Arthropoda; Insecta; Hymenoptera; Apidae. The record is from RefSeq and is a predicted model, not a curated record.
CCGCAUACCUGUUGGAAAAAGAAAGACGAAAUAGUGGCAAGAACAGCGACACUCGAGUCUCCUUUUAAAACAAGUCUCGGCUGUUCGCUAUGAUCGCGGCGCAAUCGUAUCGUCUAGUUUCACCGACAGCGUGACAAAUACAGGAUUUCUUUGUUUACAGAGCAAGUCAGGAAAGUAUUCGAAGACUCGAAGAAAGCUUUUAUAAACGUAAUUGCGCUUAGGCGAGAGAUUUUCAAAUUUCGUUGAUAUCGUGGUGAGAUCAGCGCGAUUACAUCGGUCAAUUUUGAAACGAAUCUGGAAACGUAGGCUAGAAGCUAUAUUUAUUGCAAGAUAUCUUUUAGCAGAGAUCGUGAAGGCAUUUCAACGAUCAAUUGUCCAUUGUGUCGGUAAAUCUCGAUACUCGCUUCUAUAUACGUCAGUCGUAUCUGAUUACGUCGCUAAUGAAAUUUCAAAACGUUUAAUAUCGCACGGACGAUAUAAUAUAUCGGCGAAAGAUUUCUAUAAACGUUCAAAUACUUUCGUGAGCCAUUGUACGUCACUGGAGGAAGAAUAAUGUCAUCCGGAUACGGCGCUAAAUAGAGAUGUGCGCGAAAAAGUGGGAAAUCACGAGGCGAGAAAAGCGAAGGACUUGUUACAGGCGGAACACUCAAAUAUAGUGUAUCGCGGUUCUAAAUCGAUCCGCUCAUUAUUUGUUCAUCUGGAUCGUUCAGGAAUAAAUCUUCUUUCAAGUUCA